CAUCAUCGAUUUGUUGGGGACAGAUCCAAUGCACAUGGGUGUCGAUUCCACCUGCAGUCAAAAUGAGUUUUUCUCCUGCAAUGACAUCGGUGGUGGCACCAACAAUCAUAUUGGGAUCGACUUCGUUCAUCAUGUCGGGAUUGCCUGCCUUGCCGAUACCCACAAUUCGAUUUCCUUUGAUCCCGACAUCGGCCUUGUAUAUACCAAACACGGUUGGACUGUAUUUUAGAACAUCAUUUUG
Nitzschia inconspicua is the source of this 241-nucleotide non-coding RNA. The record is from the annotation of a GenBank genome assembly. Lineage: Eukaryota; Bacillariophyta; Bacillariophyceae; Bacillariales; Bacillariaceae.